UGAAGCUUCUUCCGGAGCGCAGGGUCCAAAGAUGACCACAGUGGUGACCUGAAGCCAGAAGAAAAACAAAAGCCAAAACCAAGAGACAUGGAAAUGAACUGCUAAGAGUUUUCAUAGGCAAAGCUGGUGCAAUGAAGACACUAUGAGGCACUAUGUACACUGGCAGGAUUUAUGUGCCUCAGCAAUCAAAUUUGCAGACUACACCUGCACUUAUCCUCUAAUGAGACAUUGCAAAAGAAAUACGCUAAAUGCAUGAUGUACAAGCUCACCUUUGGCCUCUUCCAUAUCACCUGCUGAAUAUUCACAGAGCCGGGUCCUAGCUCACGGUAUCCAAGUGACUCUGCACAGGGUUUGAACUCGGGGUCG
Sceloporus undulatus (fence lizard) is the source of this 366-nucleotide long non-coding RNA. RefSeq lists it as uncharacterized. Lineage: Eukaryota; Metazoa; Chordata; Lepidosauria; Squamata; Phrynosomatidae. The transcript is spliced from 3 exons. The record is from RefSeq and is a predicted model, not a curated record.